Molecule: ribosomal RNA, 253 nt
Filed under: uncultured bacterium
Lineage: Bacteria
Description: partial 16S ribosomal RNA
Rfam family: Bacterial small subunit ribosomal RNA
Source: RNAcentral
UACGUAGGGGGCAAGCGUUGUCCGGAUUUAUUGGGCGUAAAGCGCGUGUAGGUGGCCAUGUAGGUCCGCUGUGAAAACUUGAGGCUCAACCUCAAGCUGUCGGUGGAAACCACAUGGCUAGAGUCCGGAAGAGGAGAGUGGGAUUCCUGGUGUAGCGGUGAAAUGCGCAGAUAUCAGGAAGAACACCAAUGGCGAAGGCAGCUCUCUGGGACGGUACUGACACUGAGACGCGAAAGCGUGGGGAGCGAACAGG